CGGGGUGUAGCUUAGCCUGGUAGAGCGCCUGCUUUGGGAGCAGGAGGUCGGGAGUUCGAAUCUCCCCGCCCCGA
This 74-nucleotide transfer RNA is filed under the name Cephaloticoccus primus. RNAcentral describes it as "tRNA-Pro". It matches the Rfam family "tRNA". Rfam says of the family: Transfer RNA (tRNA) molecules are approximately 80 nucleotides in length. RNAcentral also lists the same sequence under 1 other name. Lineage: Bacteria; Pseudomonadati; Verrucomicrobiota; Opitutia; Opitutales; Opitutaceae. The record is from RNAcentral.